RNAcentral lists this ribosomal RNA (463 nucleotides) under uncultured bacterium. RNAcentral's name for it is "partial 16S ribosomal RNA". It matches the Rfam family "Bacterial small subunit ribosomal RNA", at positions 28 to 507 of the family's 1533-position model. The record is from RNAcentral.
GACGAACGCUGGCGGCGUGCUUAACACAUGCCAGUCGAACGGAAAGGCCUUUUCGGAGGUACUCGAGUGGCGAACGGGUGAGUAACACGUGGGUGAUCUGCCCUGCACUCUGGGAUAAGCCUGGGAAACUGGGUCUAAUACCGGAUAGGACCGCACUUUAGUGUGUGUGGUGGAAAGUUUUUUCGGUGUAGGAUGAGCCCGCGGCCUAUCAGCUUGUUGGUGGGGUAAUGGCCUACCAAGGCGGCGACGGGUAGCCGGACUGAGAGGUUGGUCGGCCACAUUGGGACUGAGAUACGGCCCAGACUCCUACGGGAGGCAGCAGUGGGGAAUAUUGCACAAUGGGCGCGAGCCUGAUGCAGCGACGCCGCGUGGGGGAUGACGGCCUUCGGGUUGUAAACUCCUUUCGCCAGGGACGAAGCGUUUUGUGACGGUACCUGGAGAAGAAGCACCGGCUAACUACGUG